GGCCGUAUCGUAUAGUGGUUAGUACUGCAGAUUUUCGAUCUGCCAAGACGAGUUCGAUCCUCGUUGCGGCUACCA
Molecule: transfer RNA, 75 nt
Filed under: Ackermannviridae sp.
Lineage: Duplodnaviria; Heunggongvirae; Uroviricota; Caudoviricetes; Pantevenvirales; Ackermannviridae
Description: tRNA-Glu
Rfam family: tRNA
About the family: Transfer RNA (tRNA) molecules are approximately 80 nucleotides in length. Their secondary structure includes four short double-helical elements and three loops (D, anti-codon, and T loops).
Source: RNAcentral